ACGAACGCUGGCGGCGUGCCUAACACAUGCAAGUCGAACGGAGACGAUAGCAAUAUUGUCUUAGUGGCGGACGGGUGAGUAACGCGUGAGUAACCUGCCUUUCGGAGGGGGACAACAGCUGGAAACGGCUGCUAAUACCGCAUAACGUAUAUUGAGGGCAUCCUCGAUAUACCAAAGAUUUAUCGCCGAAAGAUGGACUCGCGUCUGAUUAGCUAGUUGGUGAGGUAAUGGCUCACCAAGGCUGCGAUCAGUAGCCGGACUGAGAGGUUGAACGGCCACAUUGGGACUGAGAUACGGCCCAGACUCCUACGGGAGGCAGCAGUGGGGAAUAUUGGGCAAUGGGGGAAACCCUGACCCAGCAACGCCGCGUGAAGGAAGAAGGCUUUCGGGUUGUAAACUUCUUUGACCAGGGACGAAACAAAUGACGGUACCUGGAAAACAAGCCACGGCUAACUACGU
Molecule: ribosomal RNA, 459 nt
Filed under: uncultured bacterium
Lineage: Bacteria
Description: bacterial SSU rRNA
Rfam family: Bacterial small subunit ribosomal RNA
Source: RNAcentral